This 386-nucleotide ribosomal RNA is filed under the name uncultured bacterium. RNAcentral's name for it is "bacterial SSU rRNA". It matches the Rfam family "Bacterial small subunit ribosomal RNA", at positions 29 to 418 of the family's 1533-position model. The record is from RNAcentral.
AAUGAACGUUGGCGGCGUGGAUUAGGCAUGCAAGUCGCGCGACAAGGAACCUUCGGGUUCUGGAGGAGCGGCAAACGGGGUAGUAAGGCAUCGGAACGUACCCUCUUGUUGGGAAUAGCCGCGGGAAACUGCGAGUAAUGCCCAAUAAUCCCUACGGGGCAAAGGUCCGCCGCAGGAGGAGCGGCCGAUGUGAUACCAGCUAGUUGGUGAGGUAAUGGCUCACCAAGGCUUAGACGUCUAGGGGGUGUGAGAGCAUGGCCCCCACCACUGGGACGUGAGAUACUGCCCACGACACCUACGGGUGGGCUGCAGUCGAGAAUACUUUCGGCGAAUAGGGCGGCAAGACCUCGACCGACGCAACGACCGCGUGCGGGAGUGAAGGACCC